Zootermopsis nevadensis is the source of this 107-nucleotide non-coding RNA. The record is from Rfam. Lineage: Eukaryota; Metazoa; Arthropoda; Insecta; Blattodea; Termopsidae.
GCAGUCAGUUUGGCACUAUACGAACUAACAUUGCAGUAAUACAGGGAAGAUUAGUGUGGCCCCUGCACAAGGAUUACAUGGAAGAUCGUGAAGCGUUUCGUAAUUUU